This 253-nucleotide ribosomal RNA is filed under the name uncultured bacterium. RNAcentral describes it as "partial 16S ribosomal RNA". It matches the Rfam family "Bacterial small subunit ribosomal RNA", at positions 524 to 776 of the family's 1533-position model. The record is from RNAcentral.
UACGAAGGGGGCUAGCGUUGCUCGGAAUUACUGGGCGUAAAGGGCGCGUAGGCGGAUAUCUAAGUUGGGGGUGAAAUCCCGGGGCUCAACCUCGGAAUUGCCUUCAAAACUGGGUAUCUUGAGUUCGGGAGAGGUGAGUGGAACUCCGAGUGUAGAGGUGGAAUUCGUAGAUAUCCGGAAGAACACCAGUGGCGAAGGCGACUCACUGGCCCGAUACUGACGCUGAGGCGCGAAAGCGUGGGGAGCAAACAGG